RNAcentral lists this ribosomal RNA (468 nucleotides) under uncultured bacterium. RNAcentral describes it as "partial 16S ribosomal RNA". It matches the Rfam family "Bacterial small subunit ribosomal RNA", at positions 28 to 507 of the family's 1533-position model. The record is from RNAcentral.
GACGAACGCUGGCGGCGUGCUUAACACAUGCAAGUCGAACGGACAGGCCCUGCUUUUGUUGGUUGCUCGAGUGGCGAACGGGUGAGUAACACGUGUGUAACCUGCCCUUGACUUUGGGAUAACUUCAGGAAACUGGGGCUAAUAUCGGAUAGGAGCUCCUGCUGCAUGGUGGGGGUUGGAAAGAUUCGGCGGUUGUGGAUGGACUCGCGGCUUAUCAGCUUGUUGGUGGGGUAGUGGCUUACCAAGGCUUUGACGGGUAGCCGGCCUGAGAGGGUGACCGGCCACAUGGGGACUGAGAUACGGCCCAGACGCCUACGGGAGGCAGCAGGGGAGAAUAUUGCACAAUGGGCGGAAGCCAGAUACAGCAACGCCGCGUGCGGGAUGACGGCCUUCGGGUUGUAAACCGCUGUCGCCGGUGACGAAGCGGGAGUGACGGUAAUGAGUAAAGAAGCACCGGCUAACUACGUG